AUUGAGCGCUGGCGGCAGGCUUAACACAUGCAAGUCGAGCGGGGGAAGGUAGCUUGCUACCGGACCUAGCGGCGGACGGGUGAGUAAUGCUUAGGAAUCUGCCUAUUAGUGGGGGACAACAUCUCAAAAGGGAUGCUAAUACCGCAUACGUCCUACGGGAGAAAGCAGGGGAUCUUCGGACCUUGCGCUAAUAGAUGAGCCUAAGUCGGAUUAGCUAGUUGGUGGGGUAAAGGCCUACCAAGGCGACGAGCUGUAGCGGGUCUGAGAGGAUGAUCCGCCACACUGGGACUGUGACACGGCCCAGACUCCUACGGGAGGCAGCAGUGGGGAAUAUUGGACAAUGGGGGGAACCCUGAUCCAGCCAUGCCGCGUGUGUGAAGAAGGCCUUAUGGUUGUAAAGCACUUUAAGCGAGGAGGAGGCUACUUUAGUUAAUACCUAGAGAUAGUGGACGUUACUCGCAGAAUAAGCACCGGCUAACUCUGUGCCAGCCGCCGCCGUAA
Molecule: ribosomal RNA, 501 nt
Filed under: uncultured bacterium
Lineage: Bacteria
Description: partial 16S ribosomal RNA
Rfam family: Bacterial small subunit ribosomal RNA
Source: RNAcentral